This 560-nucleotide long non-coding RNA is filed under the name Homo sapiens (human). RNAcentral describes it as "HSALNT0103265". Lineage: Eukaryota; Metazoa; Chordata; Mammalia; Primates; Hominidae. The record is from RNAcentral.
UCUUUCUUCUUCCUCUCUCUAUGAACUUGGACCUUUUAUUUUCUAGCCACUUCCUUUCUUCUACCUUCCAAACUGCAUCUAGAACCCUGCUGAGUAUCCCCUUUUCCAAGAAGCACAUCUAUAUUUUCCACCUAUCCACUUAUCUAUCCAUCUAUCAUUCAACAAGUGUUUAUUAAGCAUCUACUAUGGCUGUAGGAGAAUAUCCAGAGGGCAUCUGGAGACUGGAGUGUUCUCCUUGUAGGAUAUCAGCGCAGGUAUGUGUUACAAAUUUAGAUAAAGCCAAUAUUAUAAAACAACAUAGUGUUUGAAAUUACAAGGACCAAAUUCAAGUUCCAGCUUUUCAAAUUCUUAGCCAAGCAAUAUUUAAUAGGUAAGCUUGAGUUUCUUUUUAAGUUAUGCUGAUUAUUUAAAAAUCCAAAUAAUACAAAAGUUUAUAUAGUAAAAAAUGGAAGUUUUCCAAAUCCUACUCCCUAGAGGUAGCUACUCUUGUCACUUUGCUGCAUAUUUUGCAGACGUUUCUCUAUAUAGUCUGCCUACCCAUAUAUAUGUAUCUUCCCAUA